Symphalangus syndactylus (siamang) is the source of this 476-nucleotide long non-coding RNA. RefSeq lists it as uncharacterized. The record is from RefSeq and is a predicted model, not a curated record. NCBI's taxonomy places the organism in Eukaryota, Metazoa, Chordata, Mammalia, Primates, Hylobatidae.
CACAAAGGUGAAUGAUUUCCUGCUGUAAAGCCUGCAAGGCAUCGUUUUUCCAAUUAGAAGUGUUGCUUUGUCAUUGGACUACAUAUAUCUAGAUACCAUGAUGACAAUGGACUUGCUUCCCUUUUAAUUUCAUGAUUGAGCAUUUAUAUCCUGAGUUGGACCCAGACUGACAAAGGCACUGACAUGGAGGAGCUCAUGGUCUGAUGGGGAUAACAGGAACUCUGCAUCAAAUCGCUUUCCAUGAAUUUGUUUCCAUGAAGUGGUGUGGAAGAGCAAUUAUAAAAUUAAUUCAGAGCAGGAAUGUUUUAUAUUCUGAAUGAAGAAGAAAGGGGAGAUUGGAGGUGCUACCUUAAUAUGUGCCUGGAUCCAUCAUUCCUGAACAUGCUGCUGUUUUAUUUCAUUCUGAUGUGGUGUGUCUCCCAGCUCCUAAGCUCCUUUUGGCAUAUUAUCUUUUUGCAGAACUGGAAAAAACUUGA